GCCCGUGUGGGAUAAUGGUUUGAACGUUGGACUAUGACUCUGGAGAUCAGGGUUCGAUUCCCAGCUCAGCCA
This is a non-coding RNA of Phrynosoma platyrhinos (Desert horned lizard), 72 nucleotides long. NCBI's taxonomy places the organism in Eukaryota, Metazoa, Chordata, Lepidosauria, Squamata, Phrynosomatidae. The record is from the annotation of a GenBank genome assembly.